Molecule: ribosomal RNA, 115 nt
Filed under: Cordylochernes scorpioides
Lineage: Eukaryota; Metazoa; Arthropoda; Arachnida; Pseudoscorpiones; Chernetidae
Source: RNAcentral
ACAGCCAUACCACAUUGAAAACACCGGUUCUCGUCUGAUCACCGAAGUUAAGCAAUGUUGGGCCUGGUCAGUACUUGGGAGGGUGACCACCUGGGAACACCGGGUGCUGUAGGCU